UCUGAUUCAAUCAGAUCGAAACGCGCUCUAGAACGGUUCCCACGACUCCGUUUUAACUGGAGUUGCCUAGGCUGCGGGCUCAAUUGGAUUAGCCUUGCCAUUCGGCAGGGCUUUUCCAUAGGGAUUACAGGCAGCG
RNAcentral lists this unclassified non-coding RNA (136 nucleotides) under Brucella sp. 191011898. RNAcentral describes it as "BASRCI153". Lineage: Bacteria; Pseudomonadati; Pseudomonadota; Alphaproteobacteria; Hyphomicrobiales; Brucellaceae. The record is from RNAcentral.